Molecule: ribosomal RNA, 662 nt
Filed under: uncultured bacterium
Lineage: Bacteria
Description: bacterial SSU rRNA
Rfam family: Bacterial small subunit ribosomal RNA
Source: RNAcentral
AGAGUUUGAUCCUGGCUGAGAACGAACGUUGGCGGCACGCUUAACACAUGCAAGUCGAACGAGAAACCCGAGCUUGCUCGGGUGGACAGUGGCAGACGGCUUAGUAACGCGUGGGUAUCUACCUAGAGGUUUGGAACAACUAUUGGAAACGAUAGCUAAUACCAAAUAUUCCCUAAGGGGGAAAGAUUUAUCGCCUUUAGAUGAGCCCGCGUCGGAUUAGCUUGUUGGUAGGGUAAAGGCCUACCAAGGCAACGAUCCGUAGCUGGUCUGAGAGGAUGAUCAGCAAGAUUGGGACUGAGACACGGCCCAGACUCCUACGGGAGGCAGCAGUGGGGAAUAUUGCGCAAUGGGGGAAACCCUGACGCAGCGAUGCCGCGUGAGUGAAGAAGGCCUUAGGGUUGUAAAACUCUUUCACCGGUGAAGAUAAUGACGGUAGCCGGAGAAGAAGCCCCGGCUAACUCCGUGCCAGCAGCCGCGGUAAUACGGAGGGGGCUAACGUUGUUCGGAAUUACUGGGCGUAAAGCGCGCGUAGGCGGAUUANACAGUUGAGGGUGAAAUCCCGGAGCUUAACUCCGGAACUGCCUUCAAUACUACUAAUCUUGAGUUCGGAAGAGGUGAGUGGAAUUCCUAGUGUAGAGGUGAAAUUCGUAAAUAUUAGGAAG